AUUGAACGCUGGCGGCAGGCCUAACACAUGCAAGUCGAACGGUAGCACAGAGAGCUUGCUCUCGGGUGACGAGUGGCGGACGGGUGAGUAACGUCUGGGAAACUGCCCGAUGGAGGGGGAUAACUACUGGAAACGGUAGCUAAUACCGCAUAACGUCGCAAGACCAAAGUGGGGGACCUUCGGGCCUCACACCAUCGGAUGUGCCCAGAUGGGAUUAGCUAGUAGGUGGGGUAAUGGCUCACCUAGGCGACGAUCCCUAGCUGGUCUGAGAGGAUGAACAGCCACGCUGGAACUGAGACACGGGCCAGACUCCGACGGGAGGCAGCAGUGGGGAAUAUUGCACAAUGGGCGCAAGCCUGAUGCAGCCAUGCCGCGUGUAUGAAGAAGGCCUUCGGGUUGUAAAGUACUUUCAGCGGGGAGGAAGGCGGUGAAGUUAAUAACUUCACCGAUUGACGUUACCCGCAGAAGAAGCACCGGCUAACUCCGUGCCAGCAGCCGCAGUAA
Molecule: ribosomal RNA, 504 nt
Filed under: uncultured bacterium
Lineage: Bacteria
Description: partial 16S ribosomal RNA
Rfam family: Bacterial small subunit ribosomal RNA
Source: RNAcentral